This 478-nucleotide ribosomal RNA is filed under the name uncultured bacterium. RNAcentral describes it as "bacterial SSU rRNA". It matches the Rfam family "Bacterial small subunit ribosomal RNA", at positions 19 to 518 of the family's 1533-position model. The record is from RNAcentral.
CUGGCUCAGGACGAACGCUGGCGGCGUGCUUCAUACAUGCAAGUCGAACGAUAAGGUCCUUCGGGAAUACAUAAGUGGCGGACGGGUGAGUAAUAUGUAGAGAAUCUGCCCUGAAGAGGGGGACAACAGAGGGAAACUUCUGCUAAUACCCCAUAUGCGCGUAGUUGAGAUACUAUUCGUGAAAGAUUUAUCGCUUCAGGAUGAGUCUGCAUCUGAUUAGCUAGUUGGGGGUGUAAUGGACCACCAAGGCGACGAUCAGUAGCUGGUUUGAGAGGAUGAUCAGCCACAAUGGGACUGAGACACGGCCCAUACUCCUACGGGAGGCAGCAGUAGGGAAUUUUGCGCAAUGGGCGAAAGCCUGACGCAGCAACGCCCGCGUGAUCGCAGACGGCCUUCGGGUUGUAAAGAUCUGUCAGCAGGGACGAACAAUGACUGUACCUGCAGAGGAAGCACCGGCUAACUCCGUGCCAGCCGCCGC